This 502-nucleotide ribosomal RNA is filed under the name uncultured Sphingobacteriales bacterium. Its description in RNAcentral is "bacterial SSU rRNA". It matches the Rfam family "Bacterial small subunit ribosomal RNA", at positions 903 to 1382 of the family's 1533-position model. The record is from RNAcentral. Lineage: Bacteria; Pseudomonadati; Bacteroidota; Sphingobacteriia; Sphingobacteriales.
UUCGCCACGCCCGCUACAGAACUUAAAGGAAGUUGACGGGGGCCCGCACAAGCGGUGGAGCAUGUGGUUUAAUUCGAUGAUACGCGAGGAACCUUACCUGGGCUCAAAUGUAUGUUGACGUAUUCUGAAAGGGAUACUUCUUCGGACAAUAUACAAGGUGCUGCAUGGUUGUCGUCAGCUCGUGCCGUGAGGUGUCGGGUUAAGUCCCAUAACGAGCGCAACCCCUAUCAUUAGUUGCCAUCAGGUCAAGCUGGGGACUCUAAUGAAACUGCCUACGCAAGUAGUGAGGAAGGUGGGGAUGACGUCAAAUCAGCACGGCCCUUACGUCCAGGGCUACACACGUGCUACAAUGGCCGGUACAAAGGGUUGCCAAGCCGCGAGGUGGAGCUAAUCCCAUAAAACCGAUCGUAGUCCGGAUCGCAGUCUGCAACUCGACUGCGUGAAGUCGGAAUCGCUAGUAAUCGUGAAUCAGAAUGUCACGGUGAAUACGUUCCCGGGCCUU